UAUCUAUGUAUUCUCAGUAAUCUUUCUGAAAAAAAAAUAGUCGAAAUAAUGCAACCCUAUUUUCAAUUGCUUUUCAUAAAUAAAUGUCUGGAAGGAAAAGUCACAUCAGUUUAUUUUCGAAUUAUAAAAUUUAAUAAUUUUGCUGCAGCAACAACACCAAUUCAAGCUAGCUCUAGUACUGAAAGUUCAAAAUGGAUCUUCUGAUUGCGUAUCGUUUUACCGUUAUUACAUUAAUGAUAAGUUUAACACUAAUCGUUCUUAUGCUCCGUAUGACACUUAAUGUUAAGGAAAAGAAAUAAUUUGCAAAAUGUCGUUAAAGCUACGAAUUUGAAGUGCCAGAGAGAAAUGAGAGCAGAUGCCUUUGUAUGGACACCUAAAAAUACCAUGCAAGUUCAUACGGCCCGUCAUCAAAUUUGGAAAACUUGAAAAUACAUCGAAUGAACUAAAUCGGACCAUCAUUAUAGUGAUACUUUCUUAAUAUACUGAGAGAUCAUAAUAUUUGAAACAAAGGCCUGUUUUGUACUAAAUGAAUGAGUUCUGUUAUUUGCCGGUUGUGUUACGUUAUUUGCGAAACUGCAACCAGUUUCAAUGGUUAUUUAUACAUAUUUAUGGACUGAUAAAUUAAAAAAAGUAUGAUUAAUUGAUAAUACAUUGUUUGUUAAAACAUGAGUACAUAUGUCGAAAAUGGUGUUUAAUUUUAUAUUUCUUGAAAUAUUCUUGUAGAGAGGUGAUUAUAUAGAAUCUAAGUCGGAAGUCCCAUUACUGCUAUAGGACACAUCACAUUAAAUUUGAACUUUCGCGAUGAAUGUAAGAACAGCGUAUACUGCAAAGAAAUAUUAGCAACAAUAUAGAGAACAAUACAAAUAUUUUCAGAACAGAUGCCUAUUUCAUGAGAUAUCUGUAUGUAGCAGUCCCCAUAAAGUAUUGCCAAAGUAAUUUCUAGUAUAUCUACAUACAUACAUGACUUACUCUAGCGAUGAAAUAUUAAGCCGUUUUAAUACCUUGGUGCAAAAAAUGUUUCCGUAUAUAAAUUAGAUUAACAGAGAGAUUAACAAAAUGUUGAGAAAACUACAUACUAAGGACCCACCCAUCUUUUGUUUUGAAUUGAAUUCGAUUGACUUUAAGUAUUUUAUUUUCUUUCCUAUUUAUGUAUAUUGAAUAUACAUAUUGCCCCAUGCAAUUCUUGUUGAUAGUUUCGCAUAUUACUAACAUUUGCAAUCUACAUAUGUUGAAAUUUCUAAUUUUAUGCACUUUCAAAAAUAAAUGCCAGGAAAGAAAAGUCUCAACAAUUUAUUUUUGAAUCAUGUCAUAUAUGUACAUAUAUUAUUAAAGAAUAGUUUUCUGCUUAGCAACAACAUCAACUCAAGCACAACAGCUUUAAUAUUACGAGUUCGGAAUGGAUCUUCUGGUUGCUUAUCGUUUUACUGUUAUUACAUUAAUGCUAAGUUUAACACUGAUCGUGCUUAUCCUUCGUUUGACAAUUGAUGUUAAUCAAAAGAAAUAAUUUGCAAAAUGGCGUUAAGUAAAUAUUGAAAAUUUACAUUCCAAAAUACAUAUGAAAUUGUAGUACCAGUGGGCGUUGGAACAGACGAAAUAAGCGCAGUUGCCACAUUAAAACACCAAUAAAGUUUUUUCAUGCAGACAAAAAAAUUUAUUGGAAACCAGGCGUUGAACUCAAUAACUGACGAGAAUGCAGGGCGACCACGUUGCAUGCG
Long non-coding RNA from Zeugodacus cucurbitae (melon fly), 1715 nucleotides. RefSeq lists it as uncharacterized. The record is from RefSeq and is a predicted model, not a curated record. The transcript has 2 exons. Lineage: Eukaryota; Metazoa; Arthropoda; Insecta; Diptera; Tephritidae.